AAUGAACGCUGGCGGCAUGCCUUACACAUGCAAGUCGAACGGCAGCAUGACCUAGCUUGCUAGGUUGAUGGCGAGUGGCGAACGGGUGAGUAAUGCAUCGGAACGUGCCUUUUAGUGGGGGAUAACGUAGCGAAAGUUACGCUAAUACCGCAUAUUCUCUGAGGAGGAAGGCAGGGGGCCUUCGGGCCUUGCGCUAGAAGAGCGGCCGAUGUCGGAUUAGCUAGUUGGUGAGGUAAAGGCUCACCAAGGCAACGAUCCGUAGCGGGUCUGAGAGGAUGAUCCGCCACACUGGGACUGAGACACGGCCCAGACUCCUACGGGAGGCAGCAGUGGGGAAUUUUGGACAAUGGGCGCAAGCCUGAUCCAGCCAUGCCGCGUGAGUGAAGAAGGCCUUCGGGUUGUAAAGCUCUUUCGGCUGGGAAGAAAUCGCACUCUCUAAUACAGGGUGUGGAUGACGGUACCAGCAUAAGAAGCACCGGCUAACUACGUG
RNAcentral lists this ribosomal RNA (490 nucleotides) under uncultured bacterium. Its description in RNAcentral is "partial 16S ribosomal RNA". It matches the Rfam family "Bacterial small subunit ribosomal RNA", at positions 29 to 507 of the family's 1533-position model. The record is from RNAcentral.